UUAUUAGCUCUAAGGUCUUCCACUUCAAUUGACAAACAAGAAAAAUUACAAGGAAAAAAAAUGGACUGAAUUUCAAGCAAUCAUUUCACAUUAAAAAUAAAAAUAAAAAAGAACCACGAUUCAAAAGAUACCAUUUUAUGAAAUCCUUGAAUUUCCUCUAAAUACAAUUAUAUAAUAUGGUCCAGCUUCAAUUAAAAUUCCAUUAGGCAAAAAAGGUGCAAGAAAUGAAUUCAAUUAUGUGGAAUGUCCAAUUGCCCUCCAGACAAACACCUCAGCAGUUCAAAUGAUGGUCAAGCAUGAGUAAUAAAAGCUGAUGAUGAAAUUGAGCCCCACUACCAAAAGCUAGUUUCAGGACGAGAAGUGUCCAAGGCUUUAUAAUGAGCACAUUACCCCUAUUUCUAAUUGACAUGAGAUAUUAACACAUACCCCUCACACCUAGAGUGUGAAACAUUUAUGGGAGGUCUAAUAUUGAUUGGGGAGCCUUUGAUAUCAUCUUAAGGAAAUGGGCCAGGCCUAAUUCACCCCAAAAAAGCUUGUUCAAGGGGGGAAGGGAAGGGGGUGUGGGGGAGGAGGAGGAAGAAGAGUGCUCAAGGCUUUAUAAAGGCACAUUAGUCCUAUCUCAAACCGAUGUGGGAUAUCAAUAGUCUACAAUUAAAAACUCCCUUAAAAUAAGUAACCAAUAUAAGCAUGUAAAACAAAUUUCAUUAUCUUUAAUCUAUAUUUGCCAAAAAGUAGCUAUAUUAUAUUAUGGCAACAAUACCCAAUCACCAACUAAGGGAAUCAAGGGGGCAAGAUGCAUCAUUUAACUUUGGGGUUCAUCAAUAAACUCUGAUUUGUUCGAUUUCAUCACUAGACCUUACAUAAAAUUACAAAGUGAAAAAUCUUAAAGUUUGGUUUAACACACAUUUUAGCUACUCAUUUUUCAUAAACAAACACUUUGGUCCUUCAGAUUUAUAAAAUUCAACAUUAGUAAUUUUAAAAAUAAAUGGCAUAAUUUUACCAAAACUAGAUUUUUUUUUUCAC
This 1023-nucleotide unclassified non-coding RNA is filed under the name Hevea brasiliensis (rubber tree). The record is from RNAcentral. Lineage: Eukaryota; Viridiplantae; Streptophyta; Magnoliopsida; Malpighiales; Euphorbiaceae.